This 315-nucleotide ribosomal RNA is filed under the name Triticum aestivum (bread wheat). RNAcentral's name for it is "partial small subunit ribosomal RNA". The record is from RNAcentral. Lineage: Eukaryota; Viridiplantae; Streptophyta; Magnoliopsida; Poales; Poaceae.
AUGGCGAAAUGCUUCCUGCUGCUCGCCUUCUUGGCGUUUCUCCUGCCGGCGGCCUAUGCGACGUGCCACCCUGACGACCUUCAAGCGCCGCGGGGCUUCGCCGGGAAGUUGACACUACUCGAGGGCCUCACCGUUGUCGAUCGUUCACUAGGUAUUGCUUUCUCUAACUUGCUAUUUGUUAGAUCUGGAAGUGGCAACAUUGUAUCUGGGAGCGGCAACACUGUUGUAUCUGGGACAACAACAAUGUUUCUGGGAGCAACAACACAGUCACAUCUGGGAGCAGCAAUGUCAUACUUGACACCAACCAUGUCGUAA